Molecule: non-coding RNA, 84 nt
Filed under: Pseudomonas fluorescens HK44
Lineage: Bacteria; Pseudomonadati; Pseudomonadota; Gammaproteobacteria; Pseudomonadales; Pseudomonadaceae
Source: RNAcentral
CUUUAUGGCAGCUGUGCGCGGGAGACCUUCGGGUCUGCCGGUCUCCAUCCCCGGUUCGCCAACCUGCGUACAGCUGCCACCCAU